This 496-nucleotide ribosomal RNA is filed under the name uncultured bacterium. RNAcentral describes it as "partial 16S ribosomal RNA". It matches the Rfam family "Bacterial small subunit ribosomal RNA", at positions 28 to 506 of the family's 1533-position model. The record is from RNAcentral.
GAUGAACGCUGGCGGCGUGCCUAAUACAUGCAAGUCGAGCGAACGGACGAGAAGCUUGCUUCUCUGAUGUUAGCGGCGGACGGGUGAGUAACACGUGGAUAACCUACCUAUAAGACUGGGAUAACUUCGGGAAACCGGAGCUAAUACCGGAUGAUAUUUUGAACCGCAUGGUUCAAAAGUGAAAGACGGUCUUGCUGUCACUUAUAGAUGGAUCCGCGCUGCAUUAGCUAGUUGGUAAGGUAACGGCUUACCAAGGCAACGAUGCAUAGCCGACCUGAGAGGGGGAUCGGCCACACUGGAACUGAGACAGGGUCCAGACUCCUACGGGAGGCAGCAGUAGGAAAUCUUCCGAAAUGGGCGAAAGCCGGACGGAGAAACGCCGCGUGGGUGAGGAAGGUCUUCGGAUCGUAAAACUCUGUUAUUAGGGAAGAACAAAUGUGUAAGUAACUGUGAACAUCUUGACGGUACCUAAUAAGAAAGCCACGGCUAACUACGU